This 75-nucleotide transfer RNA is filed under the name Candidatus Shikimatogenerans bostrichidophilus. RNAcentral's name for it is "tRNA-Pro". It matches the Rfam family "tRNA". From Rfam's summary of the family: Transfer RNA (tRNA) molecules are approximately 80 nucleotides in length. Their secondary structure includes four short double-helical elements and three loops (D, anti-codon, and T loops). Lineage: Bacteria; Pseudomonadati; Bacteroidota; Flavobacteriia; Flavobacteriales. The record is from RNAcentral.
CGGGGUGUAGCGUAGUCUGGUUAUCGCGCCUGGUUUGGGACCAGGAGAUCACAAGUUCAAAUCUUGUCACUCCGA